UACGGAGGGUGCAAGCGUUAUCCGGAUUUAUUGGGUUUAAAGGGUGCGCAGGCGGGUUUGUAAGUCAGCGGUGAAAUCCCACGGCUCAACCGUGGAACUGCCAUUGAUACUGGAUACCUGGAGUGUAGACGAAGUGGGCGGAAUGUGGGGUGUAGCGGUGAAAUGCAUAGAUAUUCCACAGAACACCGAUAGCGAAGGCAGCUCACUAAACUACAACUGACGCUCAUGCACGAAAGCGUGGGGAUCAAACAGG
This 253-nucleotide ribosomal RNA is filed under the name uncultured bacterium. Its description in RNAcentral is "partial 16S ribosomal RNA". It matches the Rfam family "Bacterial small subunit ribosomal RNA", at positions 524 to 776 of the family's 1533-position model. The record is from RNAcentral.